This 349-nucleotide ribosomal RNA is filed under the name uncultured Geothrix sp. RNAcentral describes it as "bacterial SSU rRNA". It matches the Rfam family "Bacterial small subunit ribosomal RNA", at positions 77 to 414 of the family's 1533-position model. The record is from RNAcentral. Lineage: Bacteria; Pseudomonadati; Acidobacteriota; Holophagae; Holophagales; Holophagaceae.
GGAUGUGCCGCAAGGUGCAUGGCAGACGGGUGAGUAACGCGUAGGGAAUCUACCUCUUUGUGGGGAAUAACGCUCCGAAAGGAGUGGUAAUACCGCAUGAGACCGUGGACUGGGAUGUUCACGGUGAAACCUGGGGACCGAAAGGCCUGGGGCAAGGAGAGGAUCCUGCGUCUGAUUAGCUAGUUGGCGGGGUAAUGGCCCACCAAGGCGACGAUCAGUAGCCGGCCUGAGAGGGUGAUCGGCCACACUGGAACUGAGACACGGUCCAGACUCCUACGGGAGGCAGCAGUGGGGAAUUUUGCGCAAUGGACGAAAGUCUGACGCAGCAACGCCGCGUGGGUGAUGAAGG